RNAcentral lists this ribosomal RNA (460 nucleotides) under uncultured bacterium. RNAcentral describes it as "partial 16S ribosomal RNA". It matches the Rfam family "Bacterial small subunit ribosomal RNA", at positions 338 to 795 of the family's 1533-position model. The record is from RNAcentral.
CCUACGGGGGGCAGCAGUGAGGAAUAUUGGUCAAUGGGCGUAAGCCUGAACCAGCCAAGUCGCGUGAGGGAUGAAGGUUCUAUGGAUCGUAAACCUCUUUUAUAAGGGAAUAAAGUGUGGGACGUGUCCUAUUUUGUAUGUACCUUAUGAAUAAGGAUCGGCUAACUCCGUGCCAGCAGCCGCGGUAAUACGGAGGAUCCGAGCGUUAUCCGGAUUUAUUGGGUUUAAAGGGUGCGUAGGCGGCCUUUUAAGUCAGCGGUGAAAGUCUGUGGCUCAACCAUCGAAUUGCCGUUGAAACUGGGGGCCUUGAGUUUGUGUGAGGCAGGCGGAAUGCGUGGUGUAGCGGUGAAAUGCUUAGAUAUCACGCAGAACCCCGAUUGCGAAGGCAGCCUGCCAAGCCAUGACUGACGCUGAUGCACGAAAGCGUGGGGAUCAAACAGGAUUAGAUACCCUUGUAGUC